CGGCGUGCCUAACACAUGCAAGUCGUACGAGAAAGCCGGCUUCGGCUGGUGAGUAAAGUGGCGCACGGGUGAGUAACGCGUGGAUAAUCUGCCCUUAAGUGUGGAAUAACGUACCGAAAGGUGCGCUAAUACCGCAUAAUGCCUGGCAACACAAGUUGUCCGGCCAAAGAAGGCCUCUGUUUACAAGCUUUCGCUUCAGGAUGAGUCCGCGUACCAUUAGCUUGUUGGUGGGGUAAUGGCCUACCAAGGCUGCGAUGGUUAGCUGGUCUGAGAGGAUGAUCAGCCACACUGGAACUGAGAUACGGCCCAGACUCCUACGGGAGGCAGCAGUCGAGAAUAGUCUACAAUGGCCGGAAGGCUGAUAGUGCGACGCCGCGUGAACGAGGGAGCCCUUCGGGGUGUAAAGUUCUUUUCUAUACGAGCAGUGCUAUAUAUAUGGAUAGUAUAUAUAGAGGGAUAGUAGUAUAGGAAUAAGCAACGGCUAACUCCGUG
Molecule: ribosomal RNA, 492 nt
Filed under: uncultured bacterium
Lineage: Bacteria
Description: bacterial SSU rRNA
Rfam family: Bacterial small subunit ribosomal RNA
Source: RNAcentral